This 372-nucleotide ribosomal RNA is filed under the name uncultured bacterium. Its description in RNAcentral is "bacterial SSU rRNA". It matches the Rfam family "Bacterial small subunit ribosomal RNA", at positions 521 to 896 of the family's 1533-position model. The record is from RNAcentral.
UAAUACGUAGGUGGCAAGCGUUGUCCGGAUUUACUGGGCGUAAAGCGUAUGCAGGCGGGUUUUUAAGUAGGAAGUGAAAGGUUGGAGCUCAACUCCAACACUGCUCCCUAUACUGGGAAUCUUGAGUGCCGGAGAGGAAGACGGAACGACACGUGUAGCGGUGAAAUGCGUUGAGAUGUGUCGGAACACCAAUGGCGAAAGCAGUCUUCUGGACGGAUACUGACGCUGAGAUACGAAAGCCAAGGUAGCAAACAGGAUUAGAUACCCUGGUAGUCUUGGCCAUAAACGAUGUUCACUAGGUGUCGGGGGUUUCCCUCGGUGCCGCAGCUAACGCAUUAAGUGAACCGCCUGGGGACUACGGCCGCAAGGUUG